Molecule: ribosomal RNA, 497 nt
Filed under: uncultured bacterium
Lineage: Bacteria
Description: partial 16S ribosomal RNA
Rfam family: Bacterial small subunit ribosomal RNA
Source: RNAcentral
GAUGAACGCUGGCGGCGUGCCUAAUACAUGCAAGUCGAGCGAACGGACGAGAAGCUUGCUUCUCUGAUGUUAACGGCGGACGGGUGAGUAACACGUGGAUAACCUACCUAUAAGACUGGGAUAACUUCGGGAAACCGGAGCUAAUACCGGAUAAUAUUUUGAACCGCAUGGUUCAAAAGUAAAAGACGGUCUUGCUGUCACUUAUAGAUGGAUCCGCGCUGCAUUAGCUAGUUGGUAAGGUAACGGCUUACCAAGGCAACGAUGCAUAGCCGACCUGAGAGGGUGAUCGGCCACACUGGAACUGAGACACGGUCCAGACUCCUACGGGAGGCAGCAGCAGGGAAUCUUCCGCAAUGGGCGAAAGCCUGACGGAGCAACGCCGCGUGAGUGAUGAAGGUCUUCGGAUCGUAAAACUCUGUUAUUAGGGAAGAACAUAUGUGUAAGUAACUGUGCACAUCUUGACGGUACCUAAUCAGAAAGCCACGGCUAACUACGUG